This 223-nucleotide long non-coding RNA is filed under the name Salvia miltiorrhiza (redroot sage). Its description in RNAcentral is "long non-coding RNA (SMIL_LNC012985)". Lineage: Eukaryota; Viridiplantae; Streptophyta; Magnoliopsida; Lamiales; Lamiaceae. The record is from RNAcentral.
CGGGCCUUCAUAUGUCAUCAUCACAUCGUCAUCGUCAUCGUCAUCGAAGGUUCAUGUGAUAAAACAAACCUUAGUCAAAAACUCAAUUUCUAAAUCCAAUCUCAUUUUAACUAUAACUUCUCACUCAACGUCUAUUUACCCAUUAAAACUCAAUCCCUAGGUAUACUCGGCUUCUAAGGAUUCACAGUCUUAUUAUCGACUUAACUCUCAACUUGGCUCAAAC